ACGCACGCUGGCGGCGUGCUUAACCCAUGCCAGUCGAACGGAAAGGCCCUGCUUUUGUGGGGUGCUCGAGUGGCGAACGGGUGAGUAACACGUGAGUAACCUGCCCUUGACUUUGGGAUAACUUCAGGAAACUGGGCUAAUACCGGAUAGGAGCUCCUGCUGCAUGGUGGGGGUUGGAAAGUUUCGGCGGUUGGGGAUGGACUCGCGGCUUAUCAGCUUGUUGGUGGGGUAGUGGCUUACCAAGGCUUUGACGGGUAGCCGGCCUGAGAGGGUGACCGGCCACAUUGGGACUGAGAUACGGCCCAGACUCCUACGGGAGGCAGCAGUGGGGAAUAUUGCACAAUGGGCGGAAGCCUGAUGCAGCAACGCCGCGUGCGGGAUGACGGCCUUCGGGUUGUAAACCGCUUUCGCCUGUGACGAAGCGUGAGUGACGGUAAUGGGUAAAGAAGCACCGGCUAACUACGUG
RNAcentral lists this ribosomal RNA (466 nucleotides) under uncultured bacterium. RNAcentral's name for it is "partial 16S ribosomal RNA". It matches the Rfam family "Bacterial small subunit ribosomal RNA", at positions 29 to 507 of the family's 1533-position model. The record is from RNAcentral.